Non-coding RNA from Paramuricea clavata, 442 nucleotides. The record is from the annotation of a GenBank genome assembly. Lineage: Eukaryota; Metazoa; Cnidaria; Anthozoa; Malacalcyonacea; Plexauridae.
AAAUCAUCGGCACAACUAUGGACAGUAUCUGACUACACCGUCCCGUACACAUUCGAACAGUCACUUUGCCAGUUUUCAUUCCGCAAUCUUGAACAUUUCAAUUGUGGGAGAAAAUUCGGUUUAUGCGCAUGCCUAAAAAGAAUGAACGCGGAGAUGUGUUUCUGUCCGUACGUAUACAGUAUAUGAAAAGUAUUCAUCACACGUGCAAUCAUAAGACAAUCAAACAGCAUUCAAAAGAGACCAACACACCACGCGUGAUUCCCUUGGCUACCAUGUAAUUACAAAGGAGGGAAAUUAGUGAUUAAAUGACCCCGCAAAUCGAGGGAGGUUUAGUACAUAGAAUAAAGAUCCAUAUAGAAGGGCCUCGCGCAUGUCGCAUUACAAAUGUUGGCCGCCAUUUUCUUAGCCAGUCAAUGACAUUUUCUGGCCAAUAAACACGCUG